GACGAACGCUGGCGGCGUGCCUAAUACAUGCAAGUCGAGCGAAGUUUUUCUGGUGCUUGCACCGGAAAAACUUAGCGGCGAACGGGUGAGUAACACGUAAAGAACCUGCCUUAUAGACUGGGACAACAAUUGGAAACGAUAGCUAAUACCGGAUAACAGCAUUAACUGCAUGGUUGAUGUUUGAAAGUUGGUUUUGCUAACACUAUGAGAUGGCUUUGCGGUGCAUUAGCUAGUUGGUGGGGUAAAGGCCUACCAAGGCGACGAUGCAUAGCCGACCUGAGAGGGUGAUCGGCCACACUGGGACUGAGACACGGCCCAGACUCCUACGGGAGGCAGCAGUAGGGAAUCUUCCGCAAUGGGCGAAAGCCUGACGGAGCAACGCCGCGUGAGUGAAGAAGGAUUUCGGUUCGUAAAGCUCUGUUGUUAGGGAAGAAUGAUUGUGUAGUAACUAUAC
Molecule: ribosomal RNA, 454 nt
Filed under: Gemella haemolysans
Lineage: Bacteria; Bacillati; Bacillota; Bacilli; Caryophanales; Gemellaceae
Description: bacterial SSU rRNA
Rfam family: Bacterial small subunit ribosomal RNA
Source: RNAcentral